GGACCGUGGCUAUGGAGUCCGGCGUGGCAGCGGCAAUCCCUGGCCAAAGUGUGCCUUCAGCCAAAAGCAGAACUGGAAACAUCCUAAGUGGGCCGGUAACGAGGCUAGCUCUGUCGACUAGUUCAAGACCCCUGAGCGCUUUGGGCCUGAGGUUCCUCAGCUUCCAAGUGAAAGGCUUCGACUUGGCAUUCUAAGAGACAAUCUCUGUGACCAUCAGUUUCCUCAUCUGUAAAACUGGCAUCAUGAUAACUUUGAAGGUUUUAUUCUGGGCAUAUAUAUGUUUGGAGGUGUGUGUAUGUUUGGGGAACCUUUGAAUUUGGAAGUACCAAGGUGAGGAGAGACUUAUGGAAUUUAGAAGCUUUGGCAGGAACUAAGCACUGUGUUUCUUAGAAUGAGCAGCUCUUUCUACUUGAAAGGCUGAGGCAGAGGAUCGCUUGAUCCCAGGGAUUUGAAGCUGGCUGCAGUGAGCUAUGAUCACACCACUACUCUCCAGCCUAGGUGACACAGCAAGACUCUGUAAAAAAUGAAGAAGAAGAAAGAAGAAGAAGAAGAAGAAGAAGAAGAAGAGGAAGAGGAAGAGGAAGAAGAAGAAGAAGAAGAAGAAGAAGAAGAAGAAGAAGAAGAAGAAGAAGAAGAAGAAGAAGAAGAACAGGCCAUGUGAGGUUGCCACACCUGUAAUCCUAGCACAUUGGGAGGCUGAGGUGGGAAGAUCACUUGAGGUCAGGAGUUCGAGACCAGUCUGGCCAACAUGGUGAAACCCUGUCUCUAAUAAAAAUACAAAAAUUAGUCAGGUAUGGUAAUGGGUGCCUGUAGUCCCAGCUACGUGGGAGGCUGAGGCAGCAGAAUCACUUGAACCUGGGUGGCAGAGGUUGCAGUGAACCAAGAUCAUGCCACUGUACUCCAGCCUGGGUGACAGAGUAAGACUCUAUCUCAAAAACAACAACAACAAACAAACAAAAAUAGUUCCUUAAGGUGAGAGACAAAUUUAUCAAAUAAAAUGUAAAAGCCAUGAGUUUAGUAACAGCAAUUUUUCUGUCAUUUUUUCCCUCAGUGAACAUUGGCACUUAUUUUAGUGGAAUUAAAAGUAGCAGGCUGAGUGCAGUGUCUCACACCUGUAAUCUCAACACUCUGGGAAGCCAAGGCAGGAGAAUCUCUUGAGGCCGAGAGUUUGAGACCAUCCUGGACAACAUACUCUAUAAGGAACGACCCAGGCCAGAAACCUGCCAAAUCCUGUCCAGUACUAUGAUCUACAAAACGGAUCUGCCUCAGGAAAGCCAGGGAAGGUGGGGCUGGAUGGAGUGUGUUCCAGCUGGAACAUCUGCUCUGGGCCAGGCACAGUGGGGAAAGCCAAGGUGGAUUCACUAUGGCCCUGAUCUCAUGAUUGGG
RNAcentral lists this long non-coding RNA (1386 nucleotides) under Homo sapiens (human). Its description in RNAcentral is "non-protein coding lnc-CCDC117-1:13". The record is from RNAcentral. Lineage: Eukaryota; Metazoa; Chordata; Mammalia; Primates; Hominidae.